UACCAGCACCUCGAGUGGUCGGGACGAUUAUUGGGCCUAAAGCAUCCGUAGCCGGUUCUACAAGUCUUCCGUUAAAUCCACCUGCUUAACAGAUGGGCUGCGGAGGAUACUAUGGAGCUAGGAGGCGGGAGAGGCAAGCGGUACUUAGUGGGUAGGGGUAAAAUCCGUUGAUCCAUUGAAGACCACCAGUGGCGAAGGCGGCUUGCCAGAACGCACUCGACGGUGAGGGAUGAAAGCUGGGGGAGCAAACCGG
RNAcentral lists this ribosomal RNA (253 nucleotides) under uncultured bacterium. Its description in RNAcentral is "partial 16S ribosomal RNA". It matches the Rfam family "Archaeal small subunit ribosomal RNA", at positions 474 to 727 of the family's 1478-position model. The record is from RNAcentral.